CCUACGGGGGGCAGCAGUGAGGAAUAUUGGUCAAUGGGCGAGAGCCUGAACCAGCCAAGUCGCGUGAGGGAGUACUGCCCUAUGGGUUGUAAACCUCUUUUGUCGGGGAGCAAAAGCCGGACGUGUCCGGCUGUGAGAGUACCCGAAGAAAAAGCAUCGGCUAACUCCGUGCCAGCAGCCGCGGUAAUACGGAGGAUGCGAGCGUUAUCCGGAUUUAUUGGGUUUAAAGGGUGCGCAGGCGGAUUUUUAAGUCAGCGGUCAAAUCGUGGGGCUCAACCCCAUCCAGCCGUUGAAACUGGGGAUCUAGAGUGUGCGAGAGGAUAGUGGAAUUCCAGGUGUAGGAGUGAAAUCCGUAGAUAUCUGGAGGAACAUCAGUGGCGAAGGCGACUAUCUGGCACAUAACUGACGCUGAGGAGCGAAAGCGUGGGUAGCAAACAGGAUUAGAUACCCCUGUAGUC
Molecule: ribosomal RNA, 458 nt
Filed under: uncultured bacterium
Lineage: Bacteria
Description: partial 16S ribosomal RNA
Rfam family: Bacterial small subunit ribosomal RNA
Source: RNAcentral